UGCGGUGGUCAUAUCGUAGGGGUCACACCUGUUCACAUUCCGAACACAGAAGUUAAGCCCUAUGGAGCCGAUAGUACCUGUCUGGUGACGGACCGGGAGAGUAGGUAGCUGCCGCAU
This 117-nucleotide ribosomal RNA is filed under the name Clostridiales bacterium. The record is from RNAcentral. Lineage: Bacteria; Bacillati; Bacillota; Clostridia; Eubacteriales.